CAUAUUCCCUCCUUUUCAAAAAGGUGAAUAUUCCAGAGAUUUUUUUUCUUUCAAAAAUACUUAUUUUAUAUUUUCAAUUCAAAUUUUGUAAACUAAUAAUGAAAAAUUGUUAAGUUCAAGAACAUUAAUUGUAUUUUUAAAUUUUUAUUGGCUUAAAAAUAUAGAAAAUAUAAAUUACAAAAAACUAUGUAUUUAUUACUAAGGUUUAAUAUAUUUUAUUAAAAAGUGUGAAAAUUCUAAAACAUGUAUUAUUUUGAAACAGAAGGAGUAUUUAUUAUUCCUCUAUUUCAUAAGUAGCUAAUUUGAGAAAGAUUGUUUUUUGUUUCAAAAUAUAAUUAGUUUGAACAUUUUAAUGCUCUUUGUUGAAUAUUGUGUGAUCAAUUAAAUUAUUAAUGUUUUUUAUAAUUGGUUAAACUUAUGAGUAUUAAAUAAUAUUUUUAAAAGGUAAUAAUUUUUUAAUAAUAGUAUUUUUAUGUAAAAUUACUUACAAUUUGAAACAUCGGGAAUAGUUUCUAAACCAAACGAAUCCAAGACACUUCAACUUUUUUUCUUCUUAAACGAUUAAUCUUAGAUUUACAUUCCAACACUAAAAAUAAACAGAAGUAGACCCAAACUAAAAAAUAUUCACUAAGUAAUUUUGUUGAAUAAUAUUGUUGUUACAAAAAAAAAUUCACUAAGUAAUGAAAAAAUAAUAUGGUUGGUUGCUUAAAUAACACACACUUUGUUAUUGGCAUGUGAUUCAGUCUUAAUGCCCUGUCGCUCACUCUUUAUUAACAUCACGCAAAAUUAAAAAAAAAAGGCUAAAGACGAUGCAAACGAAGUCCAGCCCACUCCAAAUUAAACGAAAACGUGAAGUCUAGAAGCGACUUAAGCCUGUCUGACGUGUCAAAAUAAAAUGUUCUGAUUGGACGAUAUUUUUAAAAGGUAAUAAUUUUU
Molecule: long non-coding RNA, 936 nt
Filed under: Brassica napus (rape)
Lineage: Eukaryota; Viridiplantae; Streptophyta; Magnoliopsida; Brassicales; Brassicaceae
Description: long non-coding RNA (BNAP_LNC018760)
Source: RNAcentral